GGUGGCUCAGUGGUAGAGCGCUUGCCUUGCUUGCCAGAGGCCCUGGGUUCAAUUCCUCAGCACCA
This is a non-coding RNA of Dipodomys ordii (Ord's kangaroo rat), 65 nucleotides long. The record is from Rfam. Lineage: Eukaryota; Metazoa; Chordata; Mammalia; Rodentia; Heteromyidae.